This 71-nucleotide transfer RNA is filed under the name Marmota monax (woodchuck). RNAcentral describes it as "tRNA.Ala". It matches the Rfam family "tRNA". Rfam says of the family: Transfer RNA (tRNA) molecules are approximately 80 nucleotides in length. Their secondary structure includes four short double-helical elements and three loops (D, anti-codon, and T loops). Lineage: Eukaryota; Metazoa; Chordata; Mammalia; Rodentia; Sciuridae. The record is from RNAcentral.
GGGAGUGUAGCUCAGUGGUAGAGCGCUUGCCUUGCACGUAUGAGUCCCUGGGUUCAACCCUCAGCACCACA